UAGGGAAUCUUCCGCAAUGGGCGAAAGCCUGACGGAGCAACGCCGCGUGAGUGAUGAAGGUCUUCGGAUCGUAAAACUCUGUUAUUAGGGAAGAACAAAUGUGUAAGUAACUAUGCACGUCUUGACGGUACCUAAUCAGAAAGCCACGGCUAACUACGUGCCAGCAGCCGCGGUAAUACGUAGGUGGCAAGCGUUAUCCGGAAUUAUUGGGCGUAAAGCGCGCGUAGGCGGUUUUUUAAGUCUGAUGUGAAAGCCCACGGCUCAACCGUGGAGGGUAAUUGGAAACUGGAAAACUUGAGUGCAGAAGAGGAAAGUGGAAUUCCAUGUGUAGCGGUGAAAUGCGCAGAGAUAUGGAGGAACACCAGUGGAGAAGGCGACUUUCUGGUCUGUAACUGACGCUGAUGUGCGAAAGCGUGGGGAUCAAACAGG
Molecule: ribosomal RNA, 429 nt
Filed under: Actinomycetes bacterium
Lineage: Bacteria; Bacillati; Actinomycetota; Actinomycetes
Description: Actinobacteria bacterium partial 16S ribosomal RNA
Rfam family: Bacterial small subunit ribosomal RNA
Source: RNAcentral